This 212-nucleotide ribosomal RNA is filed under the name uncultured Gammaproteobacteria bacterium. Its description in RNAcentral is "partial 16S ribosomal RNA". It matches the Rfam family "Bacterial small subunit ribosomal RNA", at positions 30 to 236 of the family's 1533-position model. Lineage: Bacteria; Pseudomonadati; Pseudomonadota; Gammaproteobacteria. The record is from RNAcentral.
AUUGAACGCCGGCGGCAGGCCUAACACAUGCAAGUCGAGCGGUAACAUUUCUAGCUUGCUAGAAGAUGACGAGCGGCGGACGGGUGAGUAAUGCUUGGAAAUCUGCCUGGUAGUGGGGGACGAACAGUUGGAACGACUGCUAAUACCGCAUAACCUCUUCGGAGCAAAGUAGGGGGACCCGUCGGCCGUCACGCUACCAGAUGAGUCCAAGU